UACGUAGGGACCAAGCGUUGUUCGGAUUUACUGGGCGUAAAGGGCGCGUAGGCGGCGUGGUAAGUCACUUGUGAAAUCUCUGAGCUUAACUCAGAACGGCCAAGUGAUACUGCUGUGCUAGAGUGCAGAAGGGGCAAUCGGAAUUCUUGGUGUAGCGGUGAAAUGCGUAGAUAUCAAGAGGAACACCUGAGGUGAAGACGGGUUGCUGGGCUGACACUGACGCUGAUGCGCGAAAGCCAGGGGAG
Molecule: ribosomal RNA, 245 nt
Filed under: uncultured bacterium
Lineage: Bacteria
Description: partial 16S ribosomal RNA
Rfam family: Bacterial small subunit ribosomal RNA
Source: RNAcentral